This 229-nucleotide ribosomal RNA is filed under the name uncultured bacterium. Its description in RNAcentral is "partial 16S ribosomal RNA". It matches the Rfam family "Bacterial small subunit ribosomal RNA", at positions 568 to 796 of the family's 1533-position model. The record is from RNAcentral.
UGCGUAGGCGGAUUAAUAAGUCAGUGGUGAAAACCUGCAGCUUAACUGUAGACUUGCCAUUGAUACUGUUAGUCUUGAGUACGGUCAAGGUAGGCGGAAUGUGUAAUGUAGCGGUGAAAUGCUUAGAUAUUACACAGAACACCGAUUGCGAAGGCAUUGUACUGGCCAAUAACUGACGCUGAUGCACGAAAGCAUGGGGAGCGAACAGGAUUAGAUACCCUGGUAGUCC